GAUGAACGCUAGCGACAGGCUUAACACAUGCAAGUCGAGGGGCAGCACAGGUAGCACUACCGGGUGGCGACCGGCGCACGGGUGAGUAACGCGUAUGCAACUUACCUAUCAGAGGGGGAUAACCCGGCGAAAGUCGGACUAAUACCGCAUGAAGCAGGGGUCCCGCAUGGGGAUAUUUGCUAAAGAUUCAUCGCUGAUAGAUAGGCAUGCGUUCCAUUAGGCAGUUGGCGGGGUAACGGCCCACCAAACCGACGAUGGAUAGGGGUUCUGAGAGGAAGGUCCCCCACAUUGGUACUGAGACACGGACCAAACUCCUACGGGAGGCAGCAGUGAGGAAUAUUGGUCAAUGGCCGAGAGGCUGAACCAGCCAACUCGCGUGAGGGAGGAAGGUUCUAUGGAUCGUAAACCUCUUUUAUAAGGGAAUAAAGUGCGGGACGUGUCCCGUUUUGUAUGUACCUUAUGAAUAAGGAUCGGCUAACUCCGUG
Molecule: ribosomal RNA, 485 nt
Filed under: uncultured bacterium
Lineage: Bacteria
Description: partial 16S ribosomal RNA
Rfam family: Bacterial small subunit ribosomal RNA
Source: RNAcentral